AGUUCAUAACAGGAACUUAAAACUCUGCAGUAAGAGCUGCCUCAGAGAGAAAAUUGUGAGCCAUGGAAACUCCAGCUUCGUUUUCCUCCCUCCUUUUACUGUGGAUCACAGUGUCAGCUGUCACUGGAGAAACAACACGGUCUCCAGCCUCCUUGAGUAUUUCUCUUGGUGAAACAGCAAGUCUGACAUGCAGGGCCAGUCAGAGCGUUGGCAGCUACUUAGCCUGGUACCAGCAGAAAGCAGAGCAGGUUCCCCGGCUCCUUAUCCAUAGUGCCUCCACGAGGGCCAGUGGUGUCCCAGACCGGUUCAGUGGCACUGGGUCUGGGACAGACUUCACUCUCACCAUCAGCAGCCUAGAACCUGAAGAUGCUGCAGUUUACUACUGUCAACCUUUCAAAAGUUGGUCAUACACAGUGACUCAACAUGUGACAAAAACCUCCAGAAGACCACAGUGUAUUUGCUUUUACAAGCUACUUCCUUUUGUAGCAGCUGCUGGAUGCCCAUUCUUAGCAUUUUUAUUUUCGUUGUAA
Molecule: non-coding RNA, 530 nt
Organism: Mastomys coucha (southern multimammate mouse)
Lineage: Eukaryota; Metazoa; Chordata; Mammalia; Rodentia; Muridae
Source: the annotation of a RefSeq genome assembly